AUAUAGCAAUUAAAGGAGCAAUUCGCUAUAAGAUGGACCCGCGUCGCAUUAGCUAGUUGGUGAGGUAAUGGCUCACCAAGGCGACGAUGCGUAGCCGACCUGAGAGGGUGAUCGGCCACAUUGGGACUGAGACACGGCCCAGACUCCUACGGGAGGCAGCAUG
RNAcentral lists this ribosomal RNA (163 nucleotides) under uncultured bacterium. RNAcentral's name for it is "partial 16S ribosomal RNA". It matches the Rfam family "Bacterial small subunit ribosomal RNA", at positions 192 to 353 of the family's 1533-position model. The record is from RNAcentral.